UCGUCAUCCUUCCCUCGCGACAGAAACAGAAGAGUAGGGUUCCUCCCACACAUCCUCCGCCGCCGCUGCACCUGGACCUGGCUGCUUCGGCCUCCGGCCUCCGCACGCCCCUGGCCAGCCGAUCGUUGCCAAGUCGAUCCCCGUCUCACCCCGCAUCCAUCAUCCCAUGGAGCAGGGCUAGCCCGCGGCCAUCCCCUGCUCGUCUUUGGCCCAUCAAGCGGAGCUCGAGCUCGCCGGAUGACGAUCCCUCCGCUGCGGCCUAGGAUCAGCGAUGCGACUCCAGCCCCUCACUGCCGCUCCCUCCGCCGGCCUCCUCAAGCCAGAGACCCGCCUACACCUCGUCGGUCUGAAUCCAGGCCGCGAUGUAGCAGGCAUCCUCGUGGGCGUCUUGACCAGGAUUCAUCCAUGCGCAGUAUCCCGCAGCAUCUUCCAUGCCGCUGCCGUGUGCACCGUUGUAUCCCUCGCGCUCAGUCUCCUCACGGAACUGAGAACAUGUCAAGAUACGGGCGGGUGCCAAGGUUUCAUGGUUCAGAGCAUGUACCUCCCCAGCUCGCCACCACUGGUCAACUAAAGCUGACGGGGUCAUGUAUCACCCGGUACUUGUCGCCGGAGCACGCAUCGAUAGGGAAGUUGAUGGAGAAAUUAAUCGGACGUGUUCUCCUUUCGCACGGAGCUCAUCACCGGACGGCAACCUGUGGACUCGUCAUUCAUAAUAUCUCUUUGUUGUAAACGGUUGCUAUUGUCUGACAUCCAUGAACUGAAAUGCUAACAUGUUCGUACAAAAAUUAAAUUUUUUUGUUGUCCAAUACUUAACUUUCUAGCAAAUAAUCUCCAUUGGAUGCAGUGAUGUUUCCAGCUAACGAGGAGCCCUGAGAUUAUGCAGCUGACGGAAUCAACAAGGGUGUAGCAUUCGCCUUCUACAUUAACUUCUCCCAACACCCGCUUUGUCGUCCCUCUGCCCUGCUCUAUCCUGCUCUGUCCUUGCUCUAUCCUGUCCUUGAUCUAUCCUGCUCUGCGGCCCUCUACCCCCUUGGUUGCAGGUGAGCCUGAUAGGAACUCAACAAGGAUUUUGGAUCAACGCGAUAUGCUAUUUUGUGUUGAGUAGAUGGAAGCUCCAAAGGAUAAUUUUGGAUGCUCUCAUACAUUCUUAUUCUCCUUUAAGGUGCAAGUAAUAUCAUGUGUGCAAGGGAUCGCAUGGACGUUAUUCACAUUGGGGAGAGUACACAUCUCAAAAGAAUAUAAGAGUCAGAUGACGGCGCUCGGUGGCGGAGGUGGGCUCGGAUGGGAGAUAUUUGGCAGGCAGUAUACUUAACGGAUCAAAUCAAAAAAUGGAGUCCUUUCUCACAUUCAAACAUAUACCUCCUACAGGCUACAACAUGCUGCAAAGCGGGAGAAAUGCAGCCGGGAUACGGUUUCCAGCAACAGCUUGUUCCAGGCAUGAGGCCUGGUGGUGCCCAUAUGCCAAAUUACUUUGUUCCAGUUGUCCAACAAGGCCUCAGGGUCCGCGCGCAGGUAUGAGGCGCUCUGGUGCUGGGUCUGGGCAGGGACAGCAAACUCCUCAGCCAUUUCAGCAACAGGAUCUUCACCACAACCAGAUGAGCCGUCGACUUACCGGACCUACCAAGCAAUAAUCUUAGUCGAAUAUAAAAUUUGUAUUUUUUUUGUACGAUUUUUAAAUGUCUAAUAUAGCUACACGCCAUUUUUGAAUGUAAAUAAAGCAGGGCAUUAUAUUGACAUUGCAUUCUUAUGAGUUGCACUCAGAGUAGCAUAAUGAUUGUUCAAUCUCUUUGAGUCUAUUGGAGUGACACGUUGGAUGAGAUGACUAUGAAAUACAUUGUUGGCAUUGUUAGUGAGGUGACUACAACAACGCAAUGGUGAAAGAGGUGAAGUUGAGGGGCUUGUUGGAAAGGUGAAAAGAUGAACAUUUUCUUAAAGAGUGACAUGAUGAUAUUGAUGUGUUCGUUGAUGCUCUAGCCUGAAAAUAAACUGAUUGUAAUUCUACUACCACUAUU
This is a long non-coding RNA of Lolium perenne, 2012 nucleotides long. RefSeq lists it as uncharacterized. Lineage: Eukaryota; Viridiplantae; Streptophyta; Magnoliopsida; Poales; Poaceae. The record is from RefSeq and is a predicted model, not a curated record.